CCACCUCCCCUCCGCCAUCCGGCCGAACAAUGGCCUGGAGGGGCUGGAAAAGUGCUCCGGCAUCCCGGGGCUGGCGCCGGCCGGGGGGACCCGGCUGGGGCGAGCUCAUGGAGAGCGGGAGCCCCCAGCCCCCACGAGGCACCCACGGGGGCUGAGCAGGUCGGGGCUCCCGCCGUGCCCCCCAUGCAUCCUCACCAAGUCUGGGCUCAGGCUGUCCCUUUGCUCCAGGGGAAGAGGGUUUUUUUUUCCCCCAAAAACCACAUCCCUACCUCUUGGAGAAACCUUCCCAGCGUGACAAGGGGGACACAAAGUCACCAGGAGCACGGGGGUUGCUCCGGGGACACCGGUGAGGACAGGCAGCCCUCCGGCAGCAGUUGAGGAGCUGGGACGAUGCUGCCCCCCCCGUUCCCACGCCGCGGUGUCCCCUCUCCCCAGGCCAGGCUGGAGGCCAACGCGACGGCGCUGCGGGACGAGGCGCUGGCGCUGCGGCGCGAGCGGGCUGAGCUGGCCCGCAGGAACGCGGCUCUGCAAGAGGAGCUGGCACAGGGCGCAGAGCAGGCGAAGGGGCUGCGGCAGCGGCUGGAGGAGGCGGAGGAGCAGCGGCGAGCGCUGCGGGCACGCGGGGAGAAGUGUGAGGCUCGGCAGAAAGAGCUCGAGAAAACCCUGUGAGGGUCCCGUCCCUUUGCUGUGUCCCCCUGUCCCCCUCUGGGUGCCCCCCAGGGACGCGGUGUCCCCUAACACGGCUCUGCUCUGCCCGCAGGAGGGACUACGCGGCCGAGGCGGAGGCGCUGAGACGGCGGCGGGUGGGGUCCCGUACGGCCAGGCGCAGGUGCCCCCCUUCCCG
Molecule: long non-coding RNA, 844 nt
Filed under: Anser brachyrhynchus (Pink-footed goose)
Lineage: Eukaryota; Metazoa; Chordata; Aves; Anseriformes; Anatidae
Description: lncRNA (ENSABRG00000002989.1)
Source: RNAcentral